GUUAAGCGACUAAGCGUACACGGUGGAUGCCCUGGCAGUCAGAGGCGAUGAAGGACGUGCUAAUCUGCGAUAAGCGUCGGUAAGGUGAUAUGAACCGUUAUAACCGGCGAUUUCCGAAUGGGGAAACCCAGUGUGUUUCGACACACUAUCAUUAACUGAAUCCAUAGGUUAAUGAGGCGAACCGGGGGAACUGAAACAUCUAAGUACCCCGAGGAAAAGAAAUCAACCGAGAUUCCCCCAGUAGCGGCGAGCGAACGGGGAGCAGCCCAGAGCCUGAAUCAGUGUGUGUGUUAGUGGAAGCGUCUGGAAAGGCGCGCGAUACAGGGUGACAGCCCCG
Molecule: ribosomal RNA, 337 nt
Filed under: Escherichia coli
Lineage: Bacteria; Pseudomonadati; Pseudomonadota; Gammaproteobacteria; Enterobacterales; Enterobacteriaceae
Description: partial 23S ribosomal RNA
Rfam family: Bacterial large subunit ribosomal RNA
Source: RNAcentral